UCCUGAUGACUCAGUUGAUAAAGAAUCUGCCUGCAGUGCAGGAGACCCUGGUUCAAGUCCUGGGUCAGGAA
This 71-nucleotide transfer RNA is filed under the name Bos taurus (domestic cattle). It matches the Rfam family "tRNA". Rfam says of the family: Transfer RNA (tRNA) molecules are approximately 80 nucleotides in length. Their secondary structure includes four short double-helical elements and three loops (D, anti-codon, and T loops). Lineage: Eukaryota; Metazoa; Chordata; Mammalia; Artiodactyla; Bovidae. The record is from Rfam by way of RNAcentral.